AGAGUUUGAUCCUGGCUCAGAACGAACGCUGGCGGCGUGCUUAACACAUGCAAGUCGAACGUGAAAGUGGCUUCGGCCAUGAGUAAAGUGGCAGACGGGUGAGUAACACGUGGGUAACCUAUCCCUUGGCGGGGAAUAACCACUCGAAAGGGUGGCUAAUACCGCAUAAGACCACGUCCCUGAUGGGAUGAGGUAAAAGAUUUAUCACCAGGGGAGGGGCCCGCGGCAGAUUAGCUAGUUGGUGAGGUAACGGCUCACCAAGGCGACGAUCAAUAGCCGACCUGAGAGGGUGAUCGGCCACACUGGAACUGAGACACGGUCCAGACUCCUACGGGAGGCAGCAGUGGGGAAUAUUGCACAAUGGGCGCAAGCCUGAUGCAGCAACGCCGCGUGAGUGAUGAAGGCCUUCGGGUCGUAAAACUCUGUCCUAUGGGAAGAAAAAAAUGACGGUACCAUAGGAGGAAGCCCCGGCUAACUACGUGCCAGCAGCCGCGGUAAUACGUAGGGGGCAAGCGUUAUCCGGAAUCACUGGGCGUAAAGGGUGCGUAGGUGGCUGAUCAAGCCAGGGGUGAAAGGCAUUGGCUCAACCAAUGUAAGCCUUUGGAACUGAUCGGCUUGAGUGCAGGAGAGGUAAGUGGAAUUCCUAGUGUAGAGGUGAAAUUCGUAGAUAUUAGGAGGAACACCAGUGGCGAAGGCGACUUACUGGACUGUAACUGACACUGAGGCACGAAAGCGUGGGGAGCGAACAGGAUUAGAUACCCUGGUAGUCC
Molecule: ribosomal RNA, 770 nt
Filed under: uncultured bacterium
Lineage: Bacteria
Description: bacterial SSU rRNA
Rfam family: Bacterial small subunit ribosomal RNA
Source: RNAcentral